AGCGAACGCUGGCGGCAGGCCUAACACGUGCAAGUCGAACGAACUCUUCGGAGUUAGUGGCGGACGGGUGAGUCACACGUGGGAACGUGCCUUUAUGUUCGGAAUAACUCAGUUAAACUUGUGCUAAUACCGGAUGUGCCCUUCGAGUGAAAGAUUUAUCGCCUUUGUAGGAGCCCGCGUCGGAUUAGCUAGUUGGUGAGGUAAAGGCCCACCAAGGCGACGAUCAGUAGCUGGGCUGAGAGGAUGAUCAGCCACACUGGGACGGAGACACGGCACAAACUCCUACGGGAGGCAGCAGUGGGGGAUCUUGCGCAAUGGGCGAAAGCCUGACGGAGCCAUGGCGCGUGAAUGAUGAAGGUCUUAGGAUAGUAAAAUUCUUUCACCGGGGACGAUAAUGACGGUACCCGGAGAAGAAGCCCCGGCUAACUUCGUG
Molecule: ribosomal RNA, 433 nt
Filed under: uncultured bacterium
Lineage: Bacteria
Description: partial 16S ribosomal RNA
Rfam family: Bacterial small subunit ribosomal RNA
Source: RNAcentral